CUCGUAGCUUGCUAUGAGAACAAUUAGUGGCAGACGGGUGAGUAAUGCAUAGGAAUCUACCUAGUAGUAUAGGAUAGCCACUAGAAGUGGUGGGUAAUACUGUAUAAUCCCUGCGGGGGAAAGAUUUAUCGCUACAUGAUGAGCCUAUGUUAGAUUAGCUAGUUGGUGGGGUAAUGGCCUACCAAGGCAGUGAUCUAUAGCUGGUCUGAGAGGAUGAUCAGCCACACUGGAACUGAGACACGGUCCAGACUCCUACGGGAGGCAGCAGUGGGGAAUAUUGGACAAUGGGCGCAAGCCUGAUCCAGCUAUGCCGCGUGAGUGAGGAGGGCCUUAGGGUUGUAAAACUCUUUCAGUGGGGAAGAUAAUGACGGUACCCACAGAAGAAGUCCCGGCAAACUCCGUGCCAGCAGCCGCGGUAAUACGGAGGGGGCAAGCGUUGUUCGGAAUUAUUGGGCGUAAAGGGCAUGUAGGUGGUUUGGUAAGUUAAAGGUGAAAUGCCAGGGCUUAACCCUGGAGCUGCUUUUAAUACUGCCAGACUGGAGUCCGGGAGA
This 551-nucleotide ribosomal RNA is filed under the name Anaplasma bovis. Its description in RNAcentral is "bacterial SSU rRNA". It matches the Rfam family "Bacterial small subunit ribosomal RNA", at positions 72 to 655 of the family's 1533-position model. The record is from RNAcentral. Lineage: Bacteria; Pseudomonadati; Pseudomonadota; Alphaproteobacteria; Rickettsiales; Anaplasmataceae.